This 463-nucleotide ribosomal RNA is filed under the name uncultured bacterium. RNAcentral's name for it is "partial 16S ribosomal RNA". It matches the Rfam family "Bacterial small subunit ribosomal RNA", at positions 28 to 507 of the family's 1533-position model. The record is from RNAcentral.
GAUGAACGCUGACAGAAUGCUUAACGCAUGCAAGUCUUUGGCGAAGCUGUGCUUGCACAGCCUAGCCAAGGCGGACGGGUGAGUAACGCGUAAGGAACUUGCCCUGCAGUCAGGGAUAACAGACGGAAACGACUGAUAAGACCUGGUAAAGUCAGGCGGACUCAUGUCCAGCCUGAUGAAAAGAGAUGCUGCAGGAGAGCCUUGCGUCCUAUUAGCUUGUUGGUGGGGUAACGGCCCACCAAGGCGAUGAUAGGUAGCCGGCCUGAGAGGGUGGACGGCCACAAGGGGACUGAGAUACGGCCCUGACUCCUACGGGAGGCAGCAGUGGGGAAUAUUGGACAAUGGGGGCAACCCUGAUCCAGCAAUUCUGUGUGCACGAUGAAGGUUUUCGGAGUGUAAAGUGCUUUCAGCAGGGAAGAAAAAAAUGACGGUACCUGCAGAAGAAGCGACGGCUAAAUACGUG